RNA transcript from Triticum dicoccoides, 1936 nucleotides. RefSeq lists it as uncharacterized. The transcript has 8 exons. NCBI's taxonomy places the organism in Eukaryota, Viridiplantae, Streptophyta, Magnoliopsida, Poales, Poaceae. The record is from RefSeq and is a predicted model, not a curated record.
CCAGCGGCCCAGCCGCCAAACGAACCCUAGCCCUCUUUCUCCUUCCCCUCGAUCCCCACGAGCCGCCGCACCCCUCCCUCGAUCCCCAGUUCCCCACGAUCCUCUCCUAGCCCGCAACCGCCGGUCUUGUCUCUCCACUCUACCAUGUCGUCGUCGAUCCCACCGUCGGCCUUCUCCUCUGCUUGCUUCCUCCGGUCCUCUUCCAUGUCACCGUCGUUCCAGAGCGGCGGCGGGGUCUCCGCGGUGCGGGUGGGGAUGUAGGGGAGGCGUGGGAUGCGGACGGCAGAGAGGAAGGCAAGCAACAGCGGGGAAUGAGCAGGUCAGCGAUCCUAGCGUUGGGAAGGGGCAGGGUGGGGCCUCACGCACCUGCCGGCGGCCGGCGGGAGCUUGAGCUCGAGACGAUGGAGGUGCUAAGGCGGGGCAGGAGAGGACGGCUCGCCGACGAGCUCGAGUUGGAGGCGCCGCUGGAUGAGAAAGAGCAUAGGAUCCAGGAAAGCAACCAUAGGAGACGGAGAAGACGUCCCCAUGGCUUCUACGAGGACCAGAAGCGUAUGCCUAUUAUUAGAGCUUGGAUAAGGGUAGGUGAUGCAAGGGGUCUCGUCCUAAAAUCAUCUUUGUUGGUUUGGAUGAUUUUGCAAGUUUCCUUCAGCAACCUGGGGUUGUUAAGAAGAGGGUCGGGAUUGCCCUAGGCAGAUGCUUAAAUUCCUGGAUGUAAACGCACACUUGCCUCCUACACAGGCCAAAAUACUAUUGGAGAUAAGGAUACUUGUUUUGCAUAUUUGCAUCUCGAAGAAGCUUGCCCGCUAUUGUAAGUCUGACAUUUUCUUGCUUGCUUGUGGAAAAACUAGUUCUCAUUCAGUUAUGCUUGUCAGUCUGAUAGAAGAUGGACACCCCUCUUCAAGUUGGUUUAUGGGCUUGCGGAGUGUGAGAAACCCCUGGUAUGGCUCCAUCCUUCGUCCCUUGCUCCGUGGCCUGGAUGUCGAGGGAGGGCGAGAGGUGGUGAUAUGUAGGGGUGAGGGAGAUGGAGGCGGUGGCCUGCAGCUCCUAUUGAAGGGGCGGAGAAGAGGGGGUGCGGAGAUGAGAGGCUAUUUUUGUUUAUUCCAUCAUGCAGUAUUUCUGAGUUGGUUCACUCUGAAAAAAGGCAAUGGAACACUAAAUAACCUGGCAACGGAUACCCUGUGGUCUACCAUUAUAAUUAUGUGUGCAUUUUGGAUCUAUUGGAUGUCUGAAUGUAAUGCUAAUUGACAUUUACUAUUGCAAAGAUUUUGCAGGGAUGUAGAUAUAUAUGGUGAUGUUUCACUACGAUCUAAGUGUUUCAGUUCAUAUUUAGCAGGAUCACAUGUUGACCAAUGACUCUUUGCUGCCAUGGUUGAUACCGCUCGGCGGCUGGAUCUGCCAUGGAGUGGCUACCAUGGGCCAACUAGAGUUGGGUGUCCCUUUUUCCGACCUCAAGGCGGUGAGAUUAGAGUCCAAUCUUGCAGGCUGAGAAAAAUAUUGGCAAGCAUUACCAUUAUGAUCCUCCCUUGAUCAUCAUUGUUGAAGGAAAACGUAUUAGAGAUGGUAUUGUCAAGCUAAAUGUACCAGCAGCCGAUGAUGGACCUUGUGAUGCAUAUAGUUUGCAUAUUUCUCUUCAUCCAGUUUCUUCAUCCAUUUUUUUCUGUUCGCUCAUUUCUUCUAGCGUAUUCCUGUCAGUAUUUUUCAGCUCAAGGAUAGAUGCUCUAAUUACCAAACGAAUGUGCAGGCAAUGCCCAUUUGAUUAGUUAUAUCCAUGUAGUCUAUGUUUGAUAGCAUAGUGUUGUAAAAACCAAAGAAUUUUAAAACUACAGUAUUUGCUCCUAUAGGUACAAGAUACCACGGUAAUAAUAUACCAGAGUAUUUAGGAGUAUUGGGAAUAAUGCAAACCUGUUACACUAGAGCUUAUAUGUAAAGUAAAUUA